GGGGUGCGAGUUGUAAUUUCAGAGGAUGCAUCGGGUGCGGUGCCCGACUAAGUGGGCUGGUACCGGCCGUCUUAGAGGGUGAGUAUCCCGUCUGGGAUGGGCGCCCGCGCCCGUGUGAAGCUCCUUCGACGAGUCGAGUUGUUUGGGAAUGCAGUCUAAGCGGGUGGUAAUUUUCAUCUUAAGCUAAAUACUGGCCGGAGUCCGAUAGGGGACAAGUAGAGUGACGAAAGAUGAUUAGCACUUUGAAAAGAGAGUUAAACAGCACGUGAAAUUGUUGAAAGGGAAGCGUUGUCCACCAGACUCGCCCGGGGGGGUUCACCCGGCACGUUUGCCGGUGUACUCCUCUCCGGGCGGGGGAGCAUCGGUUUGGGCGGCUGGUGUAAGGCCCCCCGAAUGUAACACCCUCCCGGGUGCCUUAUAGCCCGGGGUGGCAUACAGCCAGGCUGGAGGGAGGCCCGCGCCUCCGCGAGGAUGCUGGCGUUAUGGUGGUCAACGG
This 496-nucleotide ribosomal RNA is filed under the name Penicillium sp. RNAcentral's name for it is "partial large subunit ribosomal RNA". It matches the Rfam family "Eukaryotic large subunit ribosomal RNA", at positions 134 to 647 of the family's 3401-position model. Lineage: Eukaryota; Fungi; Ascomycota; Eurotiomycetes; Eurotiales; Aspergillaceae. The record is from RNAcentral.